GGGGUUGUGGCUCAGUGGUAGAGCACUUGCCUGGCAUGUGUGAGGCACUGGGUUUGAUUCUCAACACCA
RNAcentral lists this transfer RNA (69 nucleotides) under Marmota marmota marmota (Alpine marmot). It matches the Rfam family "tRNA". Rfam says of the family: Transfer RNA (tRNA) molecules are approximately 80 nucleotides in length. Their secondary structure includes four short double-helical elements and three loops (D, anti-codon, and T loops). Further hydrogen bonds mediate the characteristic L-shaped molecular structure. tRNAs have two regions of fundamental functional importance: the anti-codon, which is responsible for specific mRNA codon recognition, and the 3' end, to which the tRNAs corresponding amino acid is attached (by aminoacyl-tRNA synthetases). tRNAs cope with the degeneracy of the genetic code in two manners: having more than one tRNA (with a specific anti-codon) for a particular amino acid; and 'wobble' base-pairing, i.e. permitting non-standard base-pairing at the 3rd anti-codon position. The record is from Rfam by way of RNAcentral. RNAcentral also lists the same sequence under 2 other names. Lineage: Eukaryota; Metazoa; Chordata; Mammalia; Rodentia; Sciuridae.